UUUUGUAUCUUUGCUUUCGUAAAUUGGAUUUUUCAGUCUUUCGUUUGAAAGGGUGGUCAUAGAACUAUAGAAGAGAACCUUUUUUUUCGUUUCAAGGUACUACAGUUCUAUCAUCUUUCUUUCUUUUGUCUUUUCUCUACAGCGUGUGGUAGAUUUUUCUUGAUCAUGAUAGAAGAUGAGAAUUGGAUAGUCUUGUGAAAAAAAUGUACUCCAGAAAGUUUUCUUUAGUUUGUCUUUUUAACCAUGAAGUUUUAUACUAGCUUCAUUUUC
Molecule: long non-coding RNA, 270 nt
Filed under: Olea europaea (common olive)
Lineage: Eukaryota; Viridiplantae; Streptophyta; Magnoliopsida; Lamiales; Oleaceae
Description: long non-coding RNA (OEUR_LNC008602)
Source: RNAcentral